This 481-nucleotide ribosomal RNA is filed under the name uncultured soil bacterium. Its description in RNAcentral is "bacterial SSU rRNA". It matches the Rfam family "Bacterial small subunit ribosomal RNA", at positions 26 to 506 of the family's 1533-position model. The record is from RNAcentral.
AGAUUGAACGCUGGCGGCAUGCCUUACACAUGCAAGUCGAACGGUAGAGUAGCAAUACUCGAGAGUGGCGAACGGGUGAGUAAUAUAUCGGAACGUGCCCAGUCGUGGGGGGAUAACGUAGAGAAAUUUACGCUAAUACCGCAUACGAUCUAAGGAUGAAAGCGGGGGACUCGCAAGAGCCUCGCGCGAUUGGAGCGGCUGAUAUCAGAUUAGGUUGUUGGUGAGGUAAAAGCUCACCAAGCCGACGAUCUGUAGCUGGUUUGAGAGAACGACCAGCCACACUGGGACUGAGACACGGCCCAGACUCCUACGGGAGGCAGCAGUGGGAAUUUUGGACAAUGGGCGAAAGCCUGAUCCAGCAAUGACCGCGUGCAGGAAGAAGGCCUUGGGUAGUAAACUGUCUUUUAGUACGGAACGAAAAGGUCUAGCCGUAAUACGGCGGCCAGUGACGUACGUAAGAAUAAGCACCGGACUAACACGU